UAGGGAAUCUUCGGCAAUGGACGAAAGUCUGACCGAGCAACGCCGCGUGAGUGAAGAAGGUUUUCGGAUCGUAAAACUCUGUUGUUAGAGAAGAACAAGGACGUUAGUAACUGAACGUCCCCUGACGGUAUCUAACCAGAAAGCCACGGCUAACUACGUGCCAGCAGCCGCGGUAAUACGUAGGUGGCAAGCGUUGUCCGGAUUUAUUGGGCGUAAAGCGAGCGCAGGCGGUUUCUUAAGUCUGAUGUGAAAGCCCCCGGCUCAACCGGGGAGGGUGAUUGGAAACUGGGGGAAUAGAGUGCAGAAGGGGAGGGUGGAAUUCCAUGUGUAGGGGUGAAAUGCGUAGAUAUGUGGGGGAACACCAGUGGAGGAGGCGGCUCUGUGGUCUGAAACUGGCGCUGAGGCGAGAAAGCGUGGGGAGCAAAGAGG
Molecule: ribosomal RNA, 429 nt
Filed under: Gemmatimonadota bacterium
Lineage: Bacteria; Pseudomonadati; Gemmatimonadota
Description: Gemmatimonadetes bacterium partial 16S ribosomal RNA
Rfam family: Bacterial small subunit ribosomal RNA
Source: RNAcentral